GAGAGAUGUAUAUAACGCAUAAUUAAAUGACUGAGGUCGUUGUGCAGCACACGGAGCCGUAUGUGCUUUUAAACAGCCACAGCGUGCACAGAGCAAGUCCAUGAGGCCAACACCCACCCCGUCUCUCGGAUGAGCGCUACAUAGUGAGCUGCCGUGCUGUCGGGACCCUCGCUGCUGCUGCUGCUGUUCUAAGCUUCCUGCAAGCGAGCUAUGGGCUCGGAUCUCCUGGAAUCCCUCCCUGCCCUCUCCAACCUCAGCUCCUCCUAGCUCCCCAAGGGUCUUCCCACUCUCCCUUCUUUCCUCAGGGCUUGCCCACCCUCACCCUCGAUUCCUCUGCCACACCUUUCUAAAGGUGGGACUCCGAGCCUCUGGGCAUACGCAAAGUCACCCCCUUGGAAAAGGACACCUGUCCUUAGUUUAAUCCAGAGACAGACAGCGCCGCUAGAGCGUGGAGAAGAUGGCUACCCUCGGAAUAAUGUUCCAAAUGCAUGAAAUACACGGGACUAUAGGAGAAAGCAAUUAUAAUCCAAUACACGUAUCAAAUUAUUGAAGGAAUGGAUCUGUGAUGUAGUACUAUGUGACUUUCAAGACACAGCAGCAGGUCACGCCGCAGGAACCCGGCAGCGGUGCUCGGCACAACUGGCAUGGCGUCACUACCGUGACGGGACCCCUGCGGCAGGACAUGGGAACACCUGUGACUUCUGAUGACAGAUGUUUGUUGCUCAUGUUCAUAAUGGAAGGAAAUGGUACGCUUUGCUGAAAGGUUAGUGAAAAUUAGUAAUUUCCUCCUAUCCAGCCUCACAGAUCCCCUGACUUCUAUCUGUGACAUCCGAGCUCAGAGUCCCAGACACAGCGUUAGGAAACCUCAGAGACCACCUAGUUACUUCUCCCUGGGAGCUCAGAGACUGGCCAAAGCUCACGCCCCUCCAGCUGCUGGAAACUCAGGCCCAGAGCCCCGCACUGGCUGUUGCUGCCCCCACAUGCCACGGGACUACCGACGCUGGGGAAAGAGACAGUGGGGUCUCGGCUGGGUUGUUGUCUCCACCCUCAUCAAAGAAACUCCACGGACCACCCACAGUCCCCCAGAUCUGCCAGUCAUACUUGGAGGGGCAGUGGGAGGGACGACCUGAAGAAGUGAUCCUGAGCUCACGAGACACCCACACUCUCUUCAAAGCCAAGGGUGCCGGCUGCCAUCUUAUCCAUAGACCCACAAAGAAGCACAGAAAAACGCUCCACAAAACGUGACUACCCUUUGGACGAAACACCAGCAAACCAAAUGCAGCAACGUCUAAAAAGGACUAGGCACCAUGACCAAGAGGAUGUAUGACACAGUGCAAGAUGAUACCACAAGUCAACCCAAAAGUUGCUGGGGAGAAGUUUCUCUUUAAUGAAUUGCAUCUCAUGAAUGUAUCAGGCUGUGACCUUUCUGCACUCUCUAAUGAGUUCAUGAAUUUAGGCCAAUUAUGGCCACAAAUGCUGCUGCUGUCACAGAGAGAUGCCGGAUAAACAACACCCACCACCAGUCUCUGAACAGGGAGGGGAGAAUCAACUCUGAAUGUGAUGUAGUGGCCAGGAGAGAGGACCACGUUCAACAACGCCACACAGAUGCAAAUGGCCUGUUUCUUCAACAAACUGCAAGGGAAAAAAUAAAAAUGGGGGAAGCUACAGAUUAAAAUACAUGUGUUUGGAUAGGAGAGUAUUCAAUGGCAAAAGAAAAAGAAAAAAUUUAAAAAUGAAAUUGUGCAAAACUUAUUUGAAUCCUGUUCAAGUGAGCAACAAAACAUUAUGAUGUACAUGAGACAACUGGAAAUAUAACUCUGACUGGACACUUUGAGAUAUUAAGCAAUUACUGUUCAUUUUUACGUAUCAAACAGUAUGGUAUUGUGGUUACGCUUUUAAAAAGAUUUGUAUUUUAGCGACACAUACUGGAAUUUUUACAGGGAAAGCCCACUGAGGAUGCUGGGCAUCAGGUCACUAGCACCGAGUGAAUUUUUUACAAUAAGCAGUAAUUCUCCCCAGCCCCAUGCAUCAUAGCCAAUCCUAAAUGAAUGCCAAUCUGGAAAAGACCAAAAUAAACCACGUGAAGAUGGGAAGAGCUGCUCUUGGUGAUGGGAGAAUGGGGACUCUCUCUUUUAUUGUGCACAUUCCACUUUCCAUCAUGCAGGAAAAUCCGUCUUGAAGGCAGCUCCUCUCUGUGCCGGGGGUGGGUGAUCCAGCCUAAGCUAGAAUGGCGGCAAGCUCAAGGCAGCUGUGGCCCUCAGGAGAGCGUCUGGAGUCCACAGCACAGUGGGAAGCGCAAUGGCAGCUAGUCUGAGGGUCUGGACGAUGGCCAUGCACAGAUGGGGACAGAGGAGCCACUGUAGUGACUGAAGCCCACGGCAUGCACCCUCUCCAGCCAGCCCCGCCCACACCUGAAGCCCACAGCGUCCACCCUGUCCACCCAGCCCUGCCCACACCUGUGGCCUUCCUCUCCUUCCUGUUUGGUGAGUGCUGCCUCCACACCUGGCUGCAUACCAGAAAGGCCUGCACAGGUCAGAACACAGGUUUCCAAACCCCACUCCAAGUCUGAACCUCCAAGGACACCCCAAGCUCCCCGAGGUUCUUGCAUAGAGGGCACAGGCCAGAGACAGCCCAGGUGGGAAGCUUACUCUGAGUCAGCUGCCCUCACCAAGAUACAUCCACAGGCUCCUGUACAAGGAGAGGAGGCAGAAGUCCUCUCUGCCAGGAGGUCCUCCUCAAUCUCCCAAGCCCACACCACUGCCCUGCUCCAUCUCCCACCACCUCCCCCUGCAGAUACGGGGGCCACCCUACCCACCCCACAGGAACGAGGGGAAAACCUGCCUCCCUCUAGGAGGAGGGCGUGGCACAGCUGCUGCACGGGUAAGGAACCUCGCUAUGCCUUGCUCCCAUCAACACUUUUAUUCUAGAUUUGAAGGUGUUUUGGGGAAGCCAUCUCUGCACAAAAGAAGUCAACGCAGG
Molecule: long non-coding RNA, 2979 nt
Filed under: Pan troglodytes (chimpanzee)
Lineage: Eukaryota; Metazoa; Chordata; Mammalia; Primates; Hominidae
Description: long non-coding RNA NONPTRT006172
Source: RNAcentral